GGUGGCUCAGCGGUAGAGCACUUGCCUUGCAUGCAUGAAGCCCUGGGUUCGAUUCCUCAGCACCA
Non-coding RNA from Dipodomys ordii (Ord's kangaroo rat), 65 nucleotides. The record is from Rfam. Lineage: Eukaryota; Metazoa; Chordata; Mammalia; Rodentia; Heteromyidae.